UGUGUGUGUGUGUGUGUGUGUUAACACCUUUGAAUAUAUGAAAAAUACCUGACUUACAAACUGAAUUGCCAUCCUAACAUGCUAAUGAAAAGUAAAGUACUAAGCACAACCAAACGAUAGCAAGUCAUAGUAUCCAAUAGAAGAUAUUGUUCUUUGGAACAUGCAGCAAUUGAAAUGGCGUUCCCUCUGGUCAUCUUAAUUCCAGUACGAAAAAGAGAAGAAAAACAGGAGAAGUUGGAACUUGGAACAGCUAAUGGCAGCCCUUACUUGUAUAAUAGCAGGCCUUCACGAAGAUCCUUUUCUCUUUGUUCCUUCUGUUCUUUUUUCCGCAAGUAAUUUUGCAUUUGAAUUUC
This 353-nucleotide unclassified non-coding RNA is filed under the name Hevea brasiliensis (rubber tree). Lineage: Eukaryota; Viridiplantae; Streptophyta; Magnoliopsida; Malpighiales; Euphorbiaceae. The record is from RNAcentral.